RNAcentral lists this transfer RNA (76 nucleotides) under Candidatus Manganitrophus noduliformans. RNAcentral describes it as "tRNA-Val". It matches the Rfam family "tRNA". Rfam says of the family: Transfer RNA (tRNA) molecules are approximately 80 nucleotides in length. Their secondary structure includes four short double-helical elements and three loops (D, anti-codon, and T loops). Lineage: Bacteria; Pseudomonadati; Nitrospirota; Nitrospiria; Candidatus Troglogloeales; Candidatus Manganitrophaceae. The record is from RNAcentral.
GGGCGGAUAGCUCAGUUGGCAGAGCGUCGGCCUUACAAGCCGAAGGUCACAGGUUCAAUCCCUGUUCCGCCUACCA